CCGCCGGCGACCGGCGCACGGGUGAGUAACACGUAUCCAACCUGCCGAUAACUCGGGGAUAGCCUUUCGAAAGAAAGAUUAAUAUCCGAUAGGAUAUCAAGAUCGCAUGAUCUUGAUAUUAAAGAAUUUCGGUUAUCGAUGGGGAUGCGUUCCAUUAGUUAGUUGGCGGGGUAACGGCCCACCAAGACGACGAUGGAUAGGGGUUCUGAGAGGAAGGUCCCCCACAUUGGAACUGAGACACGGUCCAAACUCCUACGGAAGGCAGCAG
Molecule: ribosomal RNA, 268 nt
Filed under: uncultured bacterium
Lineage: Bacteria
Description: partial 16S ribosomal RNA
Rfam family: Bacterial small subunit ribosomal RNA
Source: RNAcentral